GGCAAGGUGGCCGAGCGGUCUAAGGCGCGCGGUUAAGGUUAAACCUUGAUAAUAAUCUUGAAGACGUUUCUCUGAGACGCUCAGGUUUCCGCGUCAUUAAUUUGGCGUGGGUUCGAAUCCCACCCUUGUCA
Non-coding RNA from Aspergillus egyptiacus, 131 nucleotides. Lineage: Eukaryota; Fungi; Ascomycota; Eurotiomycetes; Eurotiales; Aspergillaceae. The record is from the annotation of a GenBank genome assembly.